UUAGAUAAUUUUAGUUGUAUUUCUUUGUAAUUUUGUGUUGUACAAAGAUUAAUUUAACAUUUUCUCUGGAAGUAUUAAUUUAGAAAGAUAAUAUGCUUCAUUGGUGUUGUGUUUUGAAGUAGUGUGAAAUGCAAAGUAAUUGUGAUAGAGUCAAGAUAAAGUUCACUUUUAAACUGAACUAAAUAAGGUAUCUGAGAGACAACAAUGGUUAAAUGCAAUACAAUGUACAGGUUUUACUAGCGAAAUGAAAAUUUUCCUGUCCUGUCUGCUGUAAUCAUUUUAUAUCUGGAAAACCAGCCGACUUAAUCGAUAAUAACAAUCUCCAGAUUGGGUUCCUUCAAUAAAUAUGGGCUAUAAACACAAUGAAAUAAGUUCCCCAAAAUCUAAAAUGGAGUGGUAUCAAAGGAGAAUUAAAGGAAAAAAUAUUCAUAUUGAAAUUAUUUAUAAGGCACUGGACUGUCUUAAAUUCUACAACAAUACUAGAAUCAGCUGAGAGAAGUGGUCUACAAAAAACCAGGAAGGAAACGGAAUAUGUGGCUACGAAAGGCAAAAGAAAGGUUUACAAAGCAAAUGUGACACAUUUUUUUGAAAUAUUUAGGAAUAUCAGUAAAUUGCAUUAAAAAAAUGUAUGAAAAGAUUUUGUUCAAUAAAAAUGUUUAUAUUUA
Molecule: long non-coding RNA, 665 nt
Organism: Diabrotica virgifera virgifera (western corn rootworm)
Lineage: Eukaryota; Metazoa; Arthropoda; Insecta; Coleoptera; Chrysomelidae
Exons: 3
Source: RefSeq, a predicted model, not a curated record